Molecule: ribosomal RNA, 431 nt
Filed under: Thelonectria discophora
Lineage: Eukaryota; Fungi; Ascomycota; Sordariomycetes; Hypocreales; Nectriaceae
Description: partial large subunit ribosomal RNA
Rfam family: Eukaryotic large subunit ribosomal RNA
Source: RNAcentral
UGAAAUCUGGCCCUCGGGUCCGAGUUGUAAUUUGCAGAGGAUGCUUUUGGCGCGGUGCCUUCCGAGUUCCCUGGAACGGGACGCCAUAGAGGGUGAGAGCCCCGUCUGGUCGGACACCAAGCCUAUGUAAAGCUCCUUCGACGAGUCGAGUAGUUUGGGAAUGCUGCUCUAAAUGGGAGGUAUAUGUCUUCUAAAGCUAAAUAUUGGCCAGAGACCGAUAGCGCACAAGUAGAGUGAUCGAAAGAUGAAAAGCACUUUGAAAAGAGAGUUAAACAGUACGUGAAAUUGUUGAAAGGGAAGCGCUUAUGACCAGACUUGGGCCUGUUGGAUCAACUUGGGUUCUCCCGGGUGCACUCCCUCAGGUUCAGGCCAGCAUCAGUUCGGCGCGGGGGAUAAAGGUUUCGGGAACGUGGCUCCCCUCGGGGAGUGUU